RNAcentral lists this ribosomal RNA (253 nucleotides) under uncultured bacterium. RNAcentral's name for it is "partial 16S ribosomal RNA". It matches the Rfam family "Bacterial small subunit ribosomal RNA", at positions 524 to 776 of the family's 1533-position model. The record is from RNAcentral.
UACGUAGGGUGCAAGCGUUGUCCGGAAUUAUUGGGCGUAAAGAGCUCGUAGGCGGUCUGUCGCGUCUGCUGUGAAAACUCAGGGCUUAACCCUGAGCUUGCAGUGGGUACGGGCAGACUAGAGUGCGGUAGGGGAGACUGGAAUUCCUGGUGUAGCGGUGAAAUGCGCAGAUAUCAGGAGGAACACCGGUGGCGAAGGCGGGUCUCUGGGCCGUAACUGACGCUAAGGCACGAAAGCGUGGGGAGCGAACAGG